RNAcentral lists this ribosomal RNA (330 nucleotides) under uncultured eukaryote. RNAcentral's name for it is "partial 18S ribosomal RNA". It matches the Rfam family "Eukaryotic small subunit ribosomal RNA", at positions 1470 to 1796 of the family's 1831-position model. The record is from RNAcentral.
CCCUUAGAUGUUCGGGGCCGCACGCGCGCUACACUGAAGGAAUCAGCACGUCUUUCUCCUUGUCCGAAAGGACUGGGUAACCCGCUGAACCUCCUUCGUGCUAGGGAUUGGGGCUUGUAAUUCUUCCCCAUGAACGAGGAAUUCCCAGUAAGCGCGAGUCAUAAGCUCGCGUUGAUUACGUCCCUGCCCUUUGUACACACCGCCCGUCGCUACUACCGAUUGGAUGGUUUAGUGAGAUCCUCGGAUUGGUCCCGGCGCGGCCUCUGGUCGUGCCGGAGUGCCGAAAAGAAUGUCGAACUCGAUCAUCUAGAGGAAGUAAAAGUCGUAACA